This 2925-nucleotide ribosomal RNA is filed under the name Escherichia sp. E4702. RNAcentral's name for it is "23S ribosomal RNA". It matches the Rfam family "Bacterial large subunit ribosomal RNA". Lineage: Bacteria; Pseudomonadati; Pseudomonadota; Gammaproteobacteria; Enterobacterales; Enterobacteriaceae. The record is from RNAcentral.
GGGUUGUGAGGUUAAGCGACUAAGCGUACACGGUGGAUGCCCUGGCAGUCAGAGGCGAUGAAGGACGUGCUAAUCUGCGAUAAGCGUCGGUAAGGUGAUAUGAACCGUUAUAACCGGCGAUUUCCGAAUGGGGAAACCCAGUGUGUUUCGACACACUAUCAUUAACUGAAUCCAUAGGUUAAUGAGGCGAACCGGGGGAACUGAAACAUCUAAGUACCCCGAGGAAAAGAAAUCAACCGAGAUUCCCCCAGUAGCGGCGAGCGAACGGGGAGCAGCCCAGAGCCUGAAUCAGUGUGUGUGUUAGUGGAAGCGUCUGGAAAGGCGUGCGAUACAGGGUGACAGCCCCGUACACAAAAAUGCACAUGCUGUGAGCUCGAUGAGUAGGGCGGGACACGUGGUAUCCUGUCUGAAUAUGGGGGGACCAUCCUCCAAGGCUAAAUACUCCUGACUGACCGAUAGUGAACCAGUACCGUGAGGGAAAGGCGAAAAGAACCCCGGCGAGGGGAGUGAAAAAGAACCUGAAACCGUGUACGUACAAGCAGUGGGAGCCUCUUUUAUGGGGUGACUGCGUACCUUUUGUAUAAUGGGUCAGCGACUUAUAUUCUGUAGCAAGGUUAACCGAAUAGGGGAGCCGAAGGGAAACCGAGUCUUAACUGGGCGUUAAGUUGCAGGGUAUAGACCCGAAACCCGGUGAUCUAGCCAUGGGCAGGUUGAAGGUUGGGUAACACUAACUGGAGGACCGAACCGACUAAUGUUGAAAAAUUAGCGGAUGACUUGUGGCUGGGGGUGAAAGGCCAAUCAAACCGGGAGAUAGCUGGUUCUCCCCGAAAGCUAUUUAGGUAGCGCCUCGUGAAUUCAUCUCCGGGGGUAGAGCACUGUUUCGGCAAGGGGGUCAUCCCGACUUACCAACCCGAUGCAAACUGCGAAUACCGGAGAAUGUUAUCACGGGAGACACACGGCGGGUGCUAACGUCCGUCGUGAAGAGGGAAACAACCCAGACCGCCAGCUAAGGUCCCAAAGUCAUGGUUAAGUGGGAAACGAUGUGGGAAGGCCCAGACAGCCAGGAUGUUGGCUUAGAAGCAGCCAUCAUUUAAAGAAAGCGUAAUAGCUCACUGGUCGAGUCGGCCUGCGCGGAAGAUGUAACGGGGCUAAACCAUGCACCGAAGCUGCGGCAGCGACGCUUAUGCGUUGUUGGGUAGGGGAGCGUUCUGUAAGCCUGUGAAGGUGUGCUGUGAGGCAUGCUGGAGGUAUCAGAAGUGCGAAUGCUGACAUAAGUAACGAUAAAGCGGGUGAAAAGCCCGCUCGCCGGAAGACCAAGGGUUCCUGUCCAACGUUAAUCGGGGCAGGGUGAGUCGACCCCUAAGGCGAGGCCGAAAGGCGUAGUCGAUGGGAAACAGGUUAAUAUUCCUGUACUUGGUGUUACUGCGAAGGGGGGACGGAGAAGGCUAUGUUGGCCGGGCGACGGUUGUCCCGGUUUAAGCGUGUAGGCUGGUUUUCCAGGCAAAUCCGGAAAAUCAAGGCUGAGGCGUGAUGACGAGGCACUACGGUGCUGAAGCAACAAAUGCCCUGCUUCCAGGAAAAGCCUCUAAGCAUCAGGUAACAUCAAAUCGUACCCCAAACCGACACAGGUGGUCAGGUAGAGAAUACCAAGGCGCUUGAGAGAACUCGGGUGAAGGAACUAGGCAAAAUGGUGCCGUAACUUCGGGAGAAGGCACGCUGAUAUGUAGGUGAAGCGACUUGCUCGUGGAGCUGAAAUCAGUCGAAGAUACCAGCUGGCUGCAACUGUUUAUUAAAAACACAGCACUGUGCAAACACGAAAGUGGACGUAUACGGUGUGACGCCUGCCCGGUGCCGGAAGGUUAAUUGAUGGGGUUAGCGCAAGCGAAGCUCUUGAUCGAAGCCCCGGUAAACGGCGGCCGUAACUAUAACGGUCCUAAGGUAGCGAAAUUCCUUGUCGGGUAAGUUCCGACCUGCACGAAUGGCGUAAUGAUGGCCAGGCUGUCUCCACCCGAGACUCAGUGAAAUUGAACUCGCUGUGAAGAUGCAGUGUACCCGCGGCAAGACGGAAAGACCCCGUGAACCUUUACUAUAGCUUGACACUGAACAUUGAGCCUUGAUGUGUAGGAUAGGUGGGAGGCUUUGAAGUGUGGACGCCAGUCUGCAUGGAGCCGACCUUGAAAUACCACCCUUUAAUGUUUGAUGUUCUAACGUGGACCCGUAAUCCGGGUUGCGGACAGUGUCUGGUGGGUAGUUUGACUGGGGCGGUCUCCUCCUAAAGAGUAACGGAGGAGCACGAAGGUUGGCUAAUCCUGGUCGGACAUCAGGAGGUUAGUGCAAUGGCAUAAGCCAGCUUGACUGCGAGCGUGACGGCGCGAGCAGGUGCGAAAGCAGGUCAUAGUGAUCCGGUGGUUCUGAAUGGAAGGGCCAUCGCUCAACGGAUAAAAGGUACUCCGGGGAUAACAGGCUGAUACCGCCCAAGAGUUCAUAUCGACGGCGGUGUUUGGCACCUCGAUGUCGGCUCAUCACAUCCUGGGGCUGAAGUAGGUCCCAAGGGUAUGGCUGUUCGCCAUUUAAAGUGGUACGCGAGCUGGGUUUAGAACGUCGUGAGACAGUUCGGUCCCUAUCUGCCGUGGGCGCUGGAGAACUGAGGGGGGCUGCUCCUAGUACGAGAGGACCGGAGUGGACGCAUCACUGGUGUUCGGGUUGUCAUGCCAAUGGCACUGCCCGGUAGCUAAAUGCGGAAGAGAUAAGUGCUGAAAGCAUCUAAGCACGAAACUUGCCCCGAGAUGAGUUCUCCCUGAGACUUUAAGUCUCCUGAAGGAACGUUGAAGACGACGACGUUGAUAGGCCGGGUGUGUAAGCGCAGCGAUGCGUUGAGCUAACCGGUACUAAUGAACCGUGAGGCUUAACCUUACAACGCCGAAG